Molecule: long non-coding RNA, 1537 nt
Organism: Beta vulgaris subsp. vulgaris (sugar beet)
Lineage: Eukaryota; Viridiplantae; Streptophyta; Magnoliopsida; Caryophyllales; Amaranthaceae
Exons: 2
Source: RefSeq, a predicted model, not a curated record
UUCAACUAUUACAAAAACAAACAGAAGCAAAUUCAGAUCCACAAAUAAGAAACAUAAUAAACCACAAAAGAUUAUCAAAGUAAUCCACCAACAAACAAUAUCUUGAAAACACUGAAAUCAAUAUUCUCUAAACAAAUACAAAGUAUCAUUUACAAUUACAAUACACCAAAAACUAAUGCAGCAGUUCCGAUAAUAGAACAGUACUGCAAUAAAAUCAUUCUAACUUAAACCAAAAUGUACAUAUGCAGUCUUUUCACCCAGACAGUAAACAUAUUGGAUUAAGAGCAGAAAACUAGAAGAUAGUUUGAUCUCAGGGAAAUAAUAGGGCCAUAGAAUCUAAUCUCAGAGGUUGGACAUCCCCCAUCCCCAAUGGUCCCCGGCAUCAAAAGGACUAACUGCAGGUUGAGAGGCGGGAGCAUCGUCAACAGAAAAACGGAGAGAGAGAAACUAUGGCAAUUAAACUUUCCAUAACUGUUGAUUAGUAUCCUGAAAAAUAAAUGAAAAUUUCCUAACUCUGUAAGCUUGGUUGUUCAUUGCAGUCAAAAAAAAGGCAUUAAGAAGCAAAAGGAUAAACAUAUUUUCAUGUCAGGCUAUAAACUGGAAGAGAUUGAAUCACAGAAGCAAAAAUGUUCUCAUUUUCAAGACAAAUAAAACAUACCACCAGCUCUUCGCCAUCAACAUUGCAUUUGCUCAGCAAGCGCAGAGCUCGGAGAACCCCUUCAGCAGAUUCAAAUUCACAGAAGCCAAAUCUUUUUGGGGUUCCAUCCGACGGAUCCUGAGCACGCUUCCAACUCUUAAUUGUUCCACAUAGCUGAGGAAGAUACAAAGAACCACAAUAUCAGCAAUGGGACAGAUAACAUAACAAAGAGACAUUACAUCAUGCCAAACAUGGAAGAUAUGUAACAAAAUCAACAAAGGUGUUUUCUCUCAUGAUAUUAACAUACCUCAAGGAGCGAAUGAAUAAAAUCAUUCUCCACUGAAGGAGCUAUCUUGCCUACAUAAACAGUAGUUUGUGGUUUUUCUACUGGUGCAACAAUUGGAACAACAGGCGGCCUGACAAUUGGGGGAGUCAUUGGAGGACGAAGUCCCAGAAAAGGAGGCCUUGGCAGUGGGGGAACUGUACCAACUGGAACUCCAGGACGAGGAAGAAAGGGAGGACGACCCAUCGGCAUAUAAGGAUAGCGAACAACUCCUGCAGUAUCAUGUAAAAACCACAUCUAUGCAAACACAUCAGAGUAGGUUCAUAAUUAACAUAAAAAAUCUUACAGAAAAAUCACUUUAUGAAUAGGGGCAAUUAAAUUUUCACAAACUUUAAAAGUGUUGUUACCACACAUCACAAGUAAGAGAUAUGGCAGCAUAGCAGAGCAACUUAUGACCAGCUGAGCAGACCUGAUGGAUAUUAACAAAUAAUACAAGGUUCAUAAAGAACAAGUCACCAAGCAUGCUUACCUUGCAUAUGCAGUUUCAAAAAUAGUAGCCUUGUCAAUAUAGCCAACGCACCAACUAACAAAUUUUUGCUAAUGAGUAUAAUGAGACU